GUUUCAUGAGGCCAGCAUCUCCAGUUCUCCAACUCCAGUUCUCCUGUGCACUCCUGCAGCUAAAACAAGCGAAGCAGAUCAAGAGAACUCAAAGGAAAGGACCCGAAGACUGAACACACCUGUGUAACCAGUAUCCAGAACAAGAAAGAACAUUACAAGCCUUCCAGAAGCCUCUUUGUUCCCUCUACCAAUCACUGUAAUAUUUUCUAAUGACAGAGUUUGCUCUCACAAGAGCAAUCCGGAAGUAUUGUAUUCCAAGAGAUCUUCCUGGGACUUGCUUCCUGCCUUCAGCACCAGAAUGAUGCAGUACCCAAAGGAUGGGCAGUAACUUGAGAAGGCACCCCAGAGGCAACAUGUCACCUGGCCUGAGCCUCCUGC
Phyllostomus hastatus (greater spear-nosed bat) is the source of this 378-nucleotide long non-coding RNA. RefSeq lists it as uncharacterized. The record is from RefSeq and is a predicted model, not a curated record. The transcript has 3 exons. NCBI's taxonomy places the organism in Eukaryota, Metazoa, Chordata, Mammalia, Chiroptera, Phyllostomidae.